This 336-nucleotide ribosomal RNA is filed under the name Triticum aestivum (bread wheat). RNAcentral's name for it is "partial small subunit ribosomal RNA". Lineage: Eukaryota; Viridiplantae; Streptophyta; Magnoliopsida; Poales; Poaceae. The record is from RNAcentral.
AUGGAUGAUGCAUUGCUUGAUGUCUUAGUUGAGCAUCACAACAAGGGUGACCAUGCCCAAAAUGGAUGGAAACCACAUGUGUACACGCAUGCCAUGAGGAAUGUGAAGGUCAAGUGCAAUAAGGAUAUCACAGAGGAUAACAUAAGUGGAAGGAUGAGGACUUUGGAUCAUCACUAUGAGGUCGUUAGCAAGAUCAUUUCUCAAAGUGGUUUCGGCUGGGAUUGGACCAAUAAUAGGCUAUCAAUGGAUAGUGAUGAUGUUUGGGCUAAAUAUGUGGAGGCUAACAAGGCAUGCAAGGAGAUAAAGUCUUACAAGACCAACAUAAUCAAGAACUAG